Molecule: non-coding RNA, 22 nt
Filed under: Arabidopsis thaliana (thale cress)
Lineage: Eukaryota; Viridiplantae; Streptophyta; Magnoliopsida; Brassicales; Brassicaceae
Source: RNAcentral
UUGUGCAAAUUACCUUUUUUGG